This 184-nucleotide non-coding RNA is filed under the name Thermomonas haemolytica. RNAcentral's name for it is "6S / SsrS RNA". It matches the Rfam family "6S / SsrS RNA". Rfam says of the family: E. coli 6S RNA was the first non coding RNA to be sequenced, but its function was unknown until recently. It consists of 184 nucleotides that fold into an extended hairpin structure with a large single-stranded internal bulge. The 6S RNA specifically associates with RNA polymerase holoenzyme containing the sigma70 specificity factor. Lineage: Bacteria; Pseudomonadati; Pseudomonadota; Gammaproteobacteria; Lysobacterales; Lysobacteraceae. The record is from Rfam by way of RNAcentral.
CGUUCUCUGCUGUGUGCGACAGCGUGCGCAACAUUCGCCUUGUCCCUUAAUGACGACCCUGGGGACGCACCGGCAGCCGGGAGUGCAUGUCCGCCGCGAGCGGAAAGCCCGAUGGCCGCCCCGCGUUCCCACUUGAACCCCGGGUUCAAGGUCGUUCCGCACGCAUCGCCACGGCGGAGACAUU